AACGCGAAGAACCUUACCUGGGCUCGAAGCGCAGUGGACCGGGGUAGAAAUAUCCCCUUUCGCAAGAACUGCUGCGGAGGUGCUGCAUGGCUGUCGUCAGCUCGCGUCGUGAGAUGUUGGGUUAAGUCCCGCAACGAGCGCAACCCUUGUCCUGUGUUGCCAUCAUUCAGUUGGGAACUCGCAGGAGACCGCCAGGGAUAACCUGGAGGAAGGUGGGGAUGACGUCAAGUCCUCAUGGCCUUUAUGUCCAGGGCUACACACGUGCUACAAUGGACGGUACAAAGCGCAGCAAACCCGCGAGGGGGAGCCAAUCGCAAAAAACCGUUCUCAGUUCGGAUUGCAGGCUGCAACUCGCCUGCAUGAAGCUGGAAUCGCUAGUAAUGGCAGAUCAGCACGCUGCCGUGAAUACGUUCCCGGGCCUUGUACACACCGACGCGUA
Molecule: ribosomal RNA, 439 nt
Filed under: uncultured bacterium
Lineage: Bacteria
Description: bacterial SSU rRNA
Rfam family: Bacterial small subunit ribosomal RNA
Source: RNAcentral